GAUGAACGCUAGCUACAGGCUUAACACAUGCAAGUCGCAGGGUAACAUGAGGAAAGCUUGCUUUCCUUGAUGACGACUGGCGCACGGGUGAGUAACGCGUAUCCAACCUUCCCAUAACUACGGGAUAACCCGUUGAAAGACGGCCUAAUACCGUAUGAUAUCGUUUGCUAACAUCAAAUAACGAUUAAAGGUUUAGCGGUUAUGGAUGGGGAUGCGUCUGAUUAGCUUGUUGGCGGGGUAACGGCCCACCAAGGCGACGAUCAGUAGGGGUUCUGAGAGGAAGGUCCCCCACAUUGGAACUGAGACACGGUCCAAACUCCUACGGGAGGCAGCAGUGAGGAAUAUUGGUCAAUGGGCGAGAGCCUGAACCAGCCAAGUAGCAUGCAGGACGACGGCCCUAUGGGUUGUAAACUGCUUUUAUGUGGGGAUAAAGUGCGUGACGUGUCAUGCAUUGCAGGUACCACAUGAAUAAGGACCGGCUAAUUCCGUG
This 490-nucleotide ribosomal RNA is filed under the name uncultured bacterium. Its description in RNAcentral is "partial 16S ribosomal RNA". It matches the Rfam family "Bacterial small subunit ribosomal RNA", at positions 28 to 507 of the family's 1533-position model. The record is from RNAcentral.